CUCGCCGCCUCCUGCACCUCAAAAGUAAUAAGACCUCCGCAAAAAUAAGACUAAGCGUUUAUUUCGGGGGUUAAAAGAAAAUAAAACCCUGUCUUAUUUUCUGGGAAACACAGUAGUUUGGUAAUGAAAUGUCUGAAAGAAAAUAAUCAAGCUCAGAGAGAGCCAAGGGUCCCAUACUUCAACCUGAACUACAAACAUUCUCUUCUAUCGGUUUCUGUGCCUUUCUUUGCUAUGGAAAGUAUUACUACAAUUAAACCAAAUUAAGUUAUUAAUGAAACUGAAAACACAAGAUGUAUAUAUGGUUUGUUGUUAAAUUGAAAAAUUUGCAUAGAGGGUUAAACAAUUGUAUCUAGGUUAAUUCAUUGCUUAAUUUUCUUCUUUUUUUCUCCCCCAGAUGCAGACAGGGUGGAUAGCACAACAGUUUUGGGGCCCCCGUGUGCAGAUUGCACAAAAAGGAGGUUAGGAGAGAGUGGGAAUGACCGAGCGAAGAAGGCUAGACACCCGAAGGAUGAUGCUGCUGAAGAUGGUGUCCUUCUGUGACUAUAUCAGACCAGUCUUCGAGAAACUUCUCCUUACUUUGGCCAUUUGCAUCUGCUGGGAGUCAAAUAAUGGAUAGGUGUAGACUUCUUACAAAGUCUGCUUGGGAGGGGAGAUCCUUAUAAAUAUCACAUCCAAUAAUUCAAAUUUCAUAGCUGUUCUUGGGGGAAGAGCAGAUUUCUAAAUAUGUCAGGGAUGAAAUCUUGGAAAAGAGGGAGCUAUGGCCUAUGAAAUGGCAUUUAGUUUUUAACUUUGGACUCCCUUCAUCUUAUUUCAAUCCAUGCACUGUAAGUUAAAACACAGGACGCCUGUUCCUUCCCCUGAAGGGCUACGUGACACCUGGUGAGAGGAAAAAGGCACACAAUCUGAGCACAUUCCAUGUGUCUAGGCAAAGAACUCUUGAAUUUUUCCUAGAUAGUACUGGGAGUUCUCAUGCAGGCAGUUGCAAAGGAUCAGUGGCUAAAUGCUAGUGGUGUUUCUGAAUCUUAGUAACUUGAAGACGUGUAGACUUCAACUCCCAGAAUUCUUCAGUUAGCAAGGUGGGAGGAAUUCUGGGAGUUAAAGUCCCCAUACAGUGUCUUAAAGUUGCCAAGGUUGAUAAAUACUGUGCUAAUGUAACAAAGUAUAUACAUUUUGCAAGUUCUUGAAGAAAAAAACUUGAACAAAAUGAGAACAUGUAUUUGUGUUAAUUUCUUUGUACUUGAAUAAAUAAAUUCAUAUAUAAUUCAGA
Molecule: non-coding RNA, 1267 nt
Organism: Thamnophis sirtalis
Lineage: Eukaryota; Metazoa; Chordata; Lepidosauria; Squamata; Natricidae
Source: RefSeq, a predicted model, not a curated record